This 708-nucleotide ribosomal RNA is filed under the name uncultured bacterium. RNAcentral's name for it is "bacterial SSU rRNA". It matches the Rfam family "Bacterial small subunit ribosomal RNA", at positions 8 to 713 of the family's 1533-position model. The record is from RNAcentral.
AGAGUUUGAUCAUGGCUCAGAUUGAACGCUGGCGGCAUGCUUUACACAUGCAAGUCGAACGGUAACAGGCCGCAAGGUGCUGACGAGUGGCGAACGGGUGAGUAAUGCAUCGGAACGUGCCCAGUCGUGGGGGAUAACGCAGCGAAAGCUGCGCUAAUACCGCAUACGAUCUAUGGAUGAAAGCGGGGGACCGUAAGGCCUCGCGCGAUUGGAGCGGCCGAUGUCAGAUUAGGUAGUUGGUGGGGUAAAGGCUCACCAAGCCGACGAUCUGUAGCUGGUCUGAGAGGACGACCAGCCACACUGGGACUGAGACACGGCCCAGACUCCUACGGGAGGCAGCAGUGGGGAAUUUUGGACAAUGGGCGCAAGCCUGAUCCAGCAAUGCCGCGUGCAGGAAGAAGGCCUUCGGGUUGUAAACUGCUUUUGUACGGAACGAAAAGGCCCUGGUUAAUACCUGGGGCUCAUGACGGUACCGUAAGAAUAAGCACCGGCUAACUACGUGCCAGCAGCCGCGGUAAUACGUAGGGUGCAAGCGUUAAUCGGAAUUACUGGGCGUAAAGCGUGCGCAGGCGGUUUUGUAAGACAGGCGUGAAAUCCCCGGGCUCAACCUGGGAAUUGCGCUUGUGACUGCAAGGCUGGAGUGCGGCAGAGGGGGAUGGAAUUCCGCGUGUAGCAGUGAAAUGCGUAGAUAUGCGGAGGAACACCGAU